Molecule: transfer RNA, 73 nt
Filed under: Erinaceus europaeus (western European hedgehog)
Lineage: Eukaryota; Metazoa; Chordata; Mammalia; Eulipotyphla; Erinaceidae
Rfam family: tRNA
About the family: Transfer RNA (tRNA) molecules are approximately 80 nucleotides in length. Their secondary structure includes four short double-helical elements and three loops (D, anti-codon, and T loops). Further hydrogen bonds mediate the characteristic L-shaped molecular structure. tRNAs have two regions of fundamental functional importance: the anti-codon, which is responsible for specific mRNA codon recognition, and the 3' end, to which the tRNAs corresponding amino acid is attached (by aminoacyl-tRNA synthetases). tRNAs cope with the degeneracy of the genetic code in two manners: having more than one tRNA (with a specific anti-codon) for a particular amino acid; and 'wobble' base-pairing, i.e. permitting non-standard base-pairing at the 3rd anti-codon position.
Source: Rfam by way of RNAcentral
UGUGAGGUGGCAUAGUGGGUAAGGCACUGGACUCUCAAGCAUGAGAUCCCAAGUUCAAUUCUUGGCAUCACAU